Molecule: unclassified non-coding RNA, 199 nt
Filed under: soil metagenome
Description: partial contains small subunit ribosomal RNA, internal transcribed spacer 1, and 5.8S ribosomal RNA
Source: RNAcentral
UUUCCGUAGGUGAACCUGCGGAAGGAUCAUUAAUGAAUUUAGAUUGAACCAUAGGCGAAAGCCAGUGGUUCUUCUUUCAUAUCCAUAACACCUGUGCACUGUUGGAUGCUUGCAUCCACUUUUAAACUAAACAUUAUUGUAACUUCUGAGUAAAACCAUAAAUAAAUCAAAACUUUCAACAACGGAUCUCUUGGUUCUG